Molecule: ribosomal RNA, 254 nt
Filed under: uncultured bacterium
Lineage: Bacteria
Description: partial 16S ribosomal RNA
Rfam family: Bacterial small subunit ribosomal RNA
Source: RNAcentral
UACGUAGGGUGCGAGCGUUGUCCGGAAUUAUUGGGCAUAAAGAGCUUGUAGGCGGUUUGUCGCGUCUGCUGUGAAAAUCCGGGGCUCAACCCCGGACUUGCAGUGGGUACGGGCAGACUAGAGUGUGGUAGGGGAGACUGGAAUUCCUGGUGUAGCGGUGGAAUGCGCAGAUAUCAGGAGGAACACCAAUGGCGAAGGCAGAUCUCUGGGCCGUAACUGACGCUGGAGGUGCGAAAGCGUGGGGAGCAAACAGG